AUGCCCCCCACGACGCCCCAGCGCCGGAAGCAGGACGAAUCGGGCGGCGGCGACUGGCGCGAGGAGGCCGUGUCCGCCGGCUCGCUGCGCCAGGUGGACCUCGACAGGGGCGCCAACGGCUGGGCCGCGCCGCCGGGGGACCUCUUCCAGCUGCGCGCGCGCGGCUACUUCUCCGGCGGCGGCGGCAAGCGCGGCAAGUCGGCCGCGUCGCCGGACUGGCUCCUCCGCCCCGCCGGCGUCGACUGGCUCCGCUCCCACGCGCGCCUCGACCACCUGCUCGCCCGCGACGACGUCCCCGUCGCCGCCGCCUUCCGCCGCGCGCGCCUCCGCAAGGACCCCAACGCCCACUUCCUCCUCGCCGUCAAUCUCCAGGUCCCCGGCUGGCCGGACGCCUACAGCUCGGUCUUCUACUUCGCGGCGGAGGCGCCCAUCCCGCCGGACUCCCUGCUCGGGCGCUUCGUCUACGGCGACGACGCCUACCGCAACGCCCGCUUCAAGAUCGUCAACCGCAUCGUCAAGGGCCCCUGGCUCGUCCGCGCCACCGUCGGCAACUACGGGGCGUGCCUCCUGGGCCGCGCGCUCACGUGCCGCUACCACAGGGGCGACGACUACCUCGAGAUCGACGUGGACAUCGGCAGCUCGGCGAUCGCCACUGCCAUCCUGCAUCUGGCGCUGGGCGCGGUCACCUCGGUGACCAUCGACAUGGGCUUCCUUGUCGAGUCCCAGUCCGAGGAGGAGCUGCCCGAAAAGCUCUUCGGCGCGGUGCGCAUCGCGCAGAUGGAGAUGGGUUCGGCCAAGUACGUGGAGACGGCGUCUGAUGAGCCCGAGACCGCCGGCAAGGCAGCGCCGGGGUUCAGGGUUGGCUCGGCGAGGGUGGCCAACGAUAGCCGCCACCAGGAACGCACCAGCGGCAAGGCCAGCAGGUCGAUGAGCUGCCAGGAACGCCUGGGCGGAGGAAAAUAG
RNAcentral lists this ribosomal RNA (963 nucleotides) under Triticum aestivum (bread wheat). Its description in RNAcentral is "partial small subunit ribosomal RNA". Lineage: Eukaryota; Viridiplantae; Streptophyta; Magnoliopsida; Poales; Poaceae. The record is from RNAcentral.